CCUGCUCUCUGUGCCACCACCCUCACAAGUAUAUUUGGUGGGAAUGUGGGAGAGGGCCUUUUCAAUGGCUGCUGCCCAGGCUUUAGAACUCCCUUCCCAGAGAGGCUAGACUGGCAUCCUCCUUACUAUCUUUCCACAAAUGUGCACCUUGAAGGAAUACAUGAAGAGGUCUUCAGAUCAUCACCUGGAACCAAGGAUCUCAAGUUUAUCAGCUCAAGGACUGACUAGACCUUGAAAGCAGCCUGUGAGGGAGAUGGCCAGGCAGGCCCAGCUCCAUCAGGGCUAGCCUGGAAGAAGAGAC
Sceloporus undulatus (fence lizard) is the source of this 301-nucleotide long non-coding RNA. RefSeq lists it as uncharacterized. The record is from RefSeq and is a predicted model, not a curated record. Lineage: Eukaryota; Metazoa; Chordata; Lepidosauria; Squamata; Phrynosomatidae. The transcript has 3 exons.